RNAcentral lists this long non-coding RNA (250 nucleotides) under Lathyrus oleraceus (garden pea). RNAcentral's name for it is "Pisum sativum (pea) long non-coding RNA (PSAT_LNC000750)". The record is from RNAcentral. Lineage: Eukaryota; Viridiplantae; Streptophyta; Magnoliopsida; Fabales; Fabaceae.
GUUUAUUUGAUUGAAUGAACAAAUCUACUUCCUUCUGCAAUCUUCUUGGAAGUGGGAGAAAAGCCUAAACCCUCUCGAUGUUUGUUUUCUGGGAGAUCCAAAACUGUUCCCCAACCAUCGGUUAUACCAUUAUUUACUAGCCGUUGUGCAUCCUUGAAUGAAGAGAUGGAUACUCCUCUCUUGGCAUCUUUGUCAAUCAAAGAAAGGGCUUGGAAUUGAGUUCCAACAGCUUCUUUAGGUUCAAGAUAAG